CCUACGGGCGGCAGCAGUGGGGAAUAUUGGGCAAUGGGCGCAAGUCUGACCCAGCAACGCCGCGUGAAGGAAGAAGGCCCUCGGAGUGUAAACUUCUUUUAUCAAGGACGAAACCAAUGACGGUACUUUAUGAAUAAGCCACUGCUAAAUACGUGCCAGCACCCACGGUAAUACGUAGGUGGCAAGCGUUAUCCGGAUUUACUGGGUGUAAAGGGCGCGUAGGCGGGACUGCAAGUCAGAUGUGAAAACCAUGGGCUCAACCUAUGGCCUGCAUUUGAAACUGUAUUGCUUGAGUGUUGGAGAGGUAGGCGGAAUUCAGUGUGUAGCGGUGAAAUGCGUAGAUAUA
This 346-nucleotide ribosomal RNA is filed under the name uncultured bacterium. RNAcentral describes it as "partial 16S ribosomal RNA". It matches the Rfam family "Bacterial small subunit ribosomal RNA", at positions 338 to 698 of the family's 1533-position model. The record is from RNAcentral.